AGGCACGUUAGUCAGGGAUUAAAAGCCUGACCUUAAUCCGAGCCUUGCCAUUUAAGAUCUGAAAUGUGAGGGACCGUCGGCCUGACAAGUGGCUCUGUUUGCUGCUGAACAAAAACAGAAUUGGAAACAGACCCUUCCUUGUUCUCAGCGAGUUCGGCGAUCUUCAUGGGAAACCAUAGCCCUCUUCUGUCAUGGAUGGAGGUACUCAGUGACAGAUUAGGCCUUGGCUACCUUUGGCUCAUAUUUGUAUUGGUAGGAAGAGAACACCUGUCAUGAAACAGUCACCUGCCACCUAGAAUCACGAGUUCAGAAGGAUGGGUGCACCCAUGUCUACACAGAGCCUCCCAUUGCCCGUUCCUGGCACACUCCCCCCAGCUAUCACUCCGCACCAAAUUGUGCCAGCAAGUGUGACAGUUUUGUGUUUGUUUCUUGUUUGUUUUUAAUCAACUAGUGUAAUGCUGCCAGAGCCUGCCUUGGCAGCCCUUCUCUGCUCAUUGAUAAAGCCUCUUCAUUCCCAAUUGUAAGCUGUAUCCUGGCCUAGAUUUGCAGAUAGAUGUUGCCUACACUCUAAAGAAUUUUACGAGGCUCAUGUUGCUAGUCUGGCUAGGAGGAAGCAGGCUUUGUCACAAAAUACAAUCAUUUCCACCUAAUGAUUAAAAUCACUGAUUUCAAUACUC
Molecule: long non-coding RNA, 677 nt
Organism: Mus musculus (house mouse)
Lineage: Eukaryota; Metazoa; Chordata; Mammalia; Rodentia; Muridae
Product: predicted gene, 39313
Exons: 2
Source: RefSeq, a predicted model, not a curated record